Molecule: non-coding RNA, 1402 nt
Organism: Sus scrofa (pig)
Lineage: Eukaryota; Metazoa; Chordata; Mammalia; Artiodactyla; Suidae
Source: RefSeq, a predicted model, not a curated record
AAAUAAAGCAAGACAGGAGUUGGCAUUGUCAAUCAAAGUCACACAGCUCCUGUGGUAGCUGAGCCAGAAUUUGAAAUCAGUUCUACCAGACCCCCAAAACGCUCUCCUGCCUGCCAGCCCGACCAGGGUGUGUUGAAGGUCAGCGACUGCAGUGACCAGUGACUUCAUCCUUGUAGAGGCAGAUGGCGAGCGAAGAAUUGUCAUCCACAGGAUUACUACAGCAAGGAUAUGGCCAAAGGAGAGAUGAGAGGUGGGAAGAGUGAAUUAGAAGCUUUUGUGAUGAGCGAAGUGGAGCCUGAACAGGGAUGGUGGCUGAAAAAAUGAAAGGUGUUGGAAGAAGAAAACAAAGAGAUAGAAAAUGAUCAAGAAGCCAACCCUAGAAUGCUUCAUAGGGAAGAGAGGGGCAGCUGAUCAGCAGCUACAAAUGCAGCACAACGGUUAAGAUCAUGGACUUUGAAGUCAGAGUUUCUGGGUUCAAAUCCUCCAUUUCCUCAUCUAUAAAAGCCAUUCUUAUUUCUGCAGAAUCACUGCACCCAAGGACAAAUCAAGAGCCACAGAGCUGCUUCGGGGGCAGCAGAUGCCAGGUCCUGGGCUGCUCAAAUCUUGGCAAUAAUUUGCCAAAUUGCUGCAAACAUUAGUGAGAAUCAUGGUGCCCAAUCCAAAGAUGUCUAGGCAUGCUAUGUUGCUUUCUUUUUUCUUUCAUUCUUUUUUUUUUUUUCAUGAAUAAAAAGGGUCAUUGAGGGGUUCCCUGAUGGCCUAGACAUUAAGGAUCCACGUUGUCACUGCAGUGGCUUGAGUCACUGCUGUGACAUGGGUUCAAUUCCCAGCCCAGGAAGUUUCACAUGCUUCAGGCACAGCCAAAAAAAAAAAAAAAGGAGGGGGGUCAUUGAUAUCUAUUCAGAUGUGCCAAAAACACAUAUGAGGCCAGGUAGGAAUUAUUCAAAAGUGCAGGUAAUUAAGGCCUUAUGUUCCUGGCAUGAUGCUCUCAAUCUGCAGUGUGAGUAUUUCGGUGUAGAGCUGCAUCCUCAGCCUUCAUUGCACUCCAUUCAACCUGUAAGUUAAACACUAAUCACACCCCAGUGAAAGCACCUUAUAUUUAUAUAAGGUGUUGUCUUAGCUCCAGCUGCUAGAACAAAAAUACCAUAGACUGGGUGGCUUAGCCACAAGAGAAAUUUAUUUCUCACAGUUCUAGAAACUGGAAUUCCAAGAUUAUGGUGCCUGCACGACUUGGUUCUGGUGAGAGCCCAUUUCUUGGGUCAUAAACAGCAGUCCUCUCAUUCAAACAUCAUGGUGGUAGAAAGGGCCAGAGGGCUCUCUGGGAUCUCUUUCCUAAGGGCAUUAAUCUCCAAGUCUUUCUUUUUUUCUUUUUUUCUUUUUUUUUUUUUUUUUUUUUGUCUUUUUG